RNAcentral lists this ribosomal RNA (460 nucleotides) under uncultured bacterium. RNAcentral's name for it is "partial 16S ribosomal RNA". It matches the Rfam family "Bacterial small subunit ribosomal RNA", at positions 338 to 795 of the family's 1533-position model. The record is from RNAcentral.
CCUACGGGAGGCAGCAGUGAGGAAUAUUGGUCAAUGGACGAGAGUCUGAACCAGCCAAGUAGCGUGAAGGAUGACUGCCCUAUGGGUUGUAAACUUCUUUUAUAUGGGAAUAAAAUGUUCCACGUGUGGGAUUUUGUAUGUACCAUAUGAAUAAGGAUCGGCUAACUCCGUGCCAGCAGCCGCGGUAAUACGGAGGAUCCGAGCGUUAUCUGGAUUUAUUGGGUUUAAAGGGAGCGUAGGUGGAUUGUUAAGUCAGUUGUGAAAGUUUGCGGCUCAACCGUAAAAUUGCAGUUGAAACUGGCAGUCUUGAGUACAGUAGAGGUGGGCGGAAUUCGUGGUGUAGCGGUGAAAUGCUUAGAUAUCACGAAGAACUCCGAUUGCGAAGGCAGCUUACUGGACUGCAACUGACACUGAGGCUCGAAAGUGUGGGUAUCAAACAGGAUUAGAUACCCCAGUAGUC